GUCCAGGGAUGGGAAUCGAACCCACAUUGUUCCGCUUACUGGGCAGAUGCCAUGUCCACUAGGCUACCCUGGA
Molecule: non-coding RNA, 73 nt
Organism: Cordylochernes scorpioides
Lineage: Eukaryota; Metazoa; Arthropoda; Arachnida; Pseudoscorpiones; Chernetidae
Source: the annotation of a GenBank genome assembly